Molecule: ribosomal RNA, 329 nt
Filed under: uncultured bacterium
Lineage: Bacteria
Description: bacterial SSU rRNA
Rfam family: Bacterial small subunit ribosomal RNA
Source: RNAcentral
AAUGAACGCUGGCGGCGUGCUUAACACAUGCAAGUCGAACGACUUUAUCUCGCUUCGGUGGGGUGAAGAAGUGGCAGACGGGUGAGUAACACGUGGGCAACCUACCUCCGAGUGUGGAAUACCAUCCCGAAAGGGGUGUUAAUACCGCAUAACAUAUCGAGUACCUUGGUACUUGAUUUCAAAGUUGGGGAUUCGAGAAAUUGGACCUGACGCUUGGAGAGGGGCUCGCGUAAGAUUAGCUAGUUGGUGGGGUAAUGGCCUACCAAGGCGACGAUCUUUAGCCGACCUGAGAGGGUGAUCGGCCACACUGGAACUGAGACACGGUCCAG